GAAAUGCGAUAAGUAGUGUGAAUUGCAGAAUUCAGUGAAUCAUCGAAUCUUUGAACGCACAUUGCGCCCUUUGGUAUUCCAAAGGGCAUGCCUGUUCGAGCGUCAUUUGUACCCUCAAGCUUUGCUUGGUGUUGGGCGUCUUGUCUCUAGCUUUGCUGGAGACUCGCCUUAAAGUAAUUGGCAGCCGGCCUACUGGUUUCGGAGCGCAGCACAAGUCGCACUCUCUAUCAGCAAAGGUCUAGCAUCCAUUAAGCCUUUUUUCAACUUUUGACCUCGGAUCAGGUAGGGAUACCCGCUGAACUUCAGC
RNAcentral lists this unclassified non-coding RNA (307 nucleotides) under plant metagenome. RNAcentral describes it as "partial contains 5.8S ribosomal RNA, internal transcribed spacer 2, and large subunit ribosomal RNA". The stretch from base 1 to 105 matches the Rfam family "5.8S ribosomal RNA", at positions 50 to 154 of the family's 154-position model. The record is from RNAcentral.